GCAAACUUGGUCAUUUAGAGGAAGUAAAAGUCGUAACAAGGUUUCUGUAGGUGAACCUGCAGAAGGAUCAUUAGUGAAGUUACCUUUCCGCCUGUCCUGGCCUGGCUCGCAAGAGCCGCCCAGGCGGAAACCCCCCUUCCACGAUUCCACACCCUUGUGCACACACACAAACAAAAACACAUUUGUAUUACGCUUGUUUAUAAAGAGUGAAAAGAGAAACUAAAACAGUUAUGUUUUUAACCAAACACAACUUUCAGCAACGGAUCUCUUGGUUCUCCCAUCGAUGAAGAACGCAGC
This 297-nucleotide unclassified non-coding RNA is filed under the name uncultured fungus. RNAcentral describes it as "partial contains small subunit ribosomal RNA, internal transcribed spacer 1, and 5.8S ribosomal RNA". The stretch from base 1 to 73 matches the Rfam family "Eukaryotic small subunit ribosomal RNA", at positions 1759 to 1831 of the family's 1831-position model. The record is from RNAcentral. Lineage: Eukaryota; Fungi.